Molecule: small RNA, 106 nt
Filed under: Pseudomonas sp.
Lineage: Bacteria; Pseudomonadati; Pseudomonadota; Gammaproteobacteria; Pseudomonadales; Pseudomonadaceae
Also listed under: 1 other name
Description: Guanidine-I sequence
Rfam family: Guanidine-I riboswitch aptamer
About the family: This family represents a conserved RNA structure found upstream of the ykkC and yxkD genes in Bacillus subtilis and related genes in other bacteria. The function of this family is unclear although it has been suggested that it may function to switch on efflux pumps and detoxification systems in response to harmful environmental molecules. Nelson showed that this riboswitch senses and responds to guanidine and it was renamed Guanidine-I riboswitch.
Source: RNAcentral
CAAAUGGCUGACUAGGGUUCCGGCUCACCGAUAGUUCGAUGAGUGGCUGGUCCGAGAGUUGGCGACCUCCAGUGAGGUUACACGGCGGGAUAAAAGCCCGGGAGAA